AAACUUUCAACAACGGAUCUCUUGGCUCUGGCAUCGAUGAAGAACGCAGCGAAACGCGAUAAGUAAUGUGAAUUGCAGAAUUUAGUGAAUCAUCGAAUCUUUGAACGCACAUUGCGCCCCUUGGUAUUCCGAGGGGCAUGCCUGUUCGAGCGUC
RNAcentral lists this ribosomal RNA (154 nucleotides) under Neoerysiphe geranii. RNAcentral's name for it is "5.8S rRNA". It matches the Rfam family "5.8S ribosomal RNA". Rfam says of the family: 5.8S ribosomal RNA (5.8S rRNA) is a component of the large subunit of the eukaryotic ribosome. Lineage: Eukaryota; Fungi; Ascomycota; Leotiomycetes; Helotiales; Erysiphaceae. The record is from RNAcentral.